GGAAUUUUGGACAAUGGGGGCAACCCUGAUCCAGCAAUGCCGCGUGAGUGAAGAAGGCCUUCGGGUUGUAAAGCUCUUUUGUCAGGGAAGAAACAGCAGCUCUAACACAGUCUGCGAAUGACGGUACCUGAAGAAUAAGCACCGGCUAACUACGUGCCAGCAGCCGCGGUAAUACGUAGGGUGCGAGCGUUAAUCGGAAUUACUGGGCGUAAAGCGUGCGCAGGCGGUUAUACAAGACAGGCGUGAAAUCCCCGGGCUUAACCUGGGAAUGGCGUCUGUGACUGUAUAGCUAGAGUGUGUCAGAGGGGGGUGGAAUUCCACGUGUAGCAGUGAAAUGCGUAGAUAUGUGGAGGAACACCAAUGGCGAAGGCAGCCCCCUGGGAUAACACUGACGCUCAUGCACGAAAGCGUGGGGAGCAAACAGGAUUAGAUACCCUGGUAGUCCACGCCCUAAACGAUGCUGACUAGUUGUUGGGAAUUUACAUUCUCAGUAACGUAGCUAACGCGUGAAGUCAGCCGCCUGGGGAGUACGGUCGCAAGAUUAAAACUCAAAGGAAUUGACGG
RNAcentral lists this ribosomal RNA (564 nucleotides) under uncultured bacterium. RNAcentral describes it as "bacterial SSU rRNA". It matches the Rfam family "Bacterial small subunit ribosomal RNA", at positions 358 to 916 of the family's 1533-position model. The record is from RNAcentral.